AGGGUUUGAUCAUGGCUCAGAACGUACGCUGGCGGCACGCCUAAUACAUGCAAGUCGAACGAAGUAGCAAUACUUAGUGGCAGACGGGUGAGUAACAUGUAGGUAUCUUCCCAUUGGUGAGGAAUAACACGAGGAAACUUGUGCUAAUACCUCAUAAGUCUUUACGGAGAAAGCUUUAUGCGCCGAUGGAUGAGCCUGCACUUGAUUAGUUUGUUGGUAGGGUAAUGGCCUACCAAGACAAUGAUCAAUAGCUGAUUUGAGAGGAUGAUCAGCCACAUUGGGACUGAGACACGGCCCAAACUCCUACGGGAGGCAGCAGUAGGGAAUCUUGCACAAUGGGGGAAACCCUGAUGCAGCGAUGCCGCGUGAGUGAAGAAGGCCUUUGGGUUGUAAAGCUCUUUCGUCGGGGAAGAAAAUGACUGUACCCGAAUAAGAAGGUCCGGCUAACUUCGUGCCAGCAGCCGCGGUAAUACGAAGGGACCUAGCGUAGUUCGGAAUUACUGGGCUUAAAGAGUUCGUAGGUGGUUAAAAAAGUUGAUGGUGAAAUCCCAAGGCUCAACCUUGGAACUGCCAUCAAAACUUUUUAGCUAGAGUGUGAUAGAGGUAAGUGGAAUUUCUAGUGUAGAGGUGAAAUUCGUAGAUAUUAGAAAGAACACCAAAUGCGAAGGCAACUUACUGGGUCACUACUGACACUGAGGAGCGAAAGCAUGGGUAGCGAAGAGGAUUAGAUACCCUCGUAGUCCAUGCCGUAAACGAUGUGUGCUAGACGUUGGAAAUAUAUUUUUCAGUGUCGCAGCGAAAGCAUUAAGCACACCGCCUGGGGAGUACGACCGCAAGGUUAAAACUCAAAUGAAUUGACGGGGACCCGCACAAGCAGUGGAGCAUGUGGUUUAAUUCGAAGAUACGCGCAGAACCUUACCAACACUUGACAUGUUCGUCGCGAGCCUAAGAGAUUAGGCUUUUCAGUUUGGCUGGACGAAACACAGGUGCUGCAUGGCUGUCGUCAGCUCGUGUCGUGAGAUGUUGGGUUAAGUCCCGCAACGAGCGCAACCCUCACUUUUAGUUGCCAUCAUUAAGUUGGGCACUCUGAAAGAACUGCCAGUGAUAAGCUGGAGGAAGGUGGGGAUGACGUCAAGUCCUCAUGGCCCUUACGUGUUGGGCUACACACGUGCUACAAUGGUAUCUACAACAGGAAGCAAAACUGCGAGGUUAAGCAAAUCCUUAAAAGAUACCUCAGUUCGGAUUGCACUCUGCAACUCGAGUGCAUGAAGCUGGAAUUACUAGUAAUCGUGGAUCAGCGUGCCACGGUGAAUGCGUUCCCGGGUCUUGUACACACCGCCCGUCACACCAUGGGAGUUGGUUCUACCUUAAGGCAAGGUUUAAAACCCUUGACCACGGUAUAGUCAGCGACUGGGGUGAAGUCGUAACAAGGUAACCGUA
This 1440-nucleotide ribosomal RNA is filed under the name uncultured bacterium. RNAcentral describes it as "bacterial SSU rRNA". It matches the Rfam family "Bacterial small subunit ribosomal RNA". The record is from RNAcentral.